GAUGAACGCUGGCGGCGUGCCUAAUACAUGCAAGUCGAGCGAACGGACGAUAAGCUUGCUUCUCUGAUUUUAGCGGCGGACGGGUGAGUAACACGUGGAUAACCUACCUAUAUGACUGGGAUAACUUCGGGAAACCGGAUCUAAUACCGGAUAAUAUUUUGAACCGCAUGGUUCAAAAGUGAAAGACGGUCUUGCUGUCACUUAUAGAUGGUUCCGCGCUGCAUUAGCUAGUUGGUAAGGUAACGGCUUACCAAGGCAACGAUGCAUAGCCGACCUGAGAGGGUGAUCGGCCACACUGGAACUGAGACACGGUACAGACGCCUACGGGAGGCAGCAGUAGGGAAUAUUCCGCAAUGGGCGAAAGCCUGACGGAGAAACGCCGCGUGAGUGAUGAAGGUCUUCGGAUCGUAAAACUCUGUUAUUAGGGAAGAACAUAUGUGUAAGUAAAUGUGCACAUCUUGACGGUAACUAAUCAGAAAGCAACGGCUAACUACGUG
This 497-nucleotide ribosomal RNA is filed under the name uncultured bacterium. Its description in RNAcentral is "partial 16S ribosomal RNA". It matches the Rfam family "Bacterial small subunit ribosomal RNA", at positions 28 to 507 of the family's 1533-position model. The record is from RNAcentral.